UCUCCUGGAAACGGGUGGUAAUGCCGGAUGCUCCAUCACACCGCAUGGUGUGUUGGGAAAGCCUUUGCGGCAUGGGAUGGGGUCGCGUCCUAUCAGCUUGAUGGCGGGGUAACGGCCCACCAUGGCUUCGACGGGUAGCCGGCCUGAGAGGGCGACCGGCCACAUUGGGACUGAGAUACGGCCCAGACUCCUACGGGAGGCAGCAGUGGGGAAUAUUGCACAAUGGGCGCAAGCCUGAUGCAGCGACGCCGCGUGAGGGAUGGAGGCCUUCGGGUUGUAAACCUCUUUUGUUAGGGAGCAAGGCACUUUGUGUUGAGUGUACCUUUCGAAUAAGCACCGGCUAACUACGUGCCAGCAGCCGCGGUAAUACGUAGGGUGCAAGCGUUAUCCGGAAUUAUUGGGCGUAAAGGGCUCGUAGGCGGUUCGUCGCGUCCGGUGUGAAAGUCCAUCGCUUAACGGUGGAUCCGCGCCGGGUACGGGCGGGCUUGAGUGCGGUAGGGGAGACUGGAAUUCCCGGUGUAACGGUGGAAUGUGUAGAUAUCG
RNAcentral lists this ribosomal RNA (543 nucleotides) under Bifidobacterium breve. Its description in RNAcentral is "bacterial SSU rRNA". It matches the Rfam family "Bacterial small subunit ribosomal RNA", at positions 146 to 699 of the family's 1533-position model. Lineage: Bacteria; Bacillati; Actinomycetota; Actinomycetes; Bifidobacteriales; Bifidobacteriaceae. The record is from RNAcentral.